Molecule: ribosomal RNA, 434 nt
Filed under: Phintella jaleeli
Lineage: Eukaryota; Metazoa; Arthropoda; Arachnida; Araneae; Salticidae
Description: Phintella sp. 2 SPB-2018 partial 28S ribosomal RNA
Source: RNAcentral
GCCUGCCGCGCCAUUCGUCGUCCCAGACGCAUUUGUCUCUCGUCCGAAGGACGCUGCAGCCGGUUCGGAAGUGCAAACGUGACGGCCUGAAGGUCGGGAAACGGCAGGUGGCCGGUGGCUCGCCACGUGCGGGUCGUCGGUUGUUAGCCUUCCCGUCAGUGGCCCGUCUCCGGACCGAGGUGUCGCGAGUCCCCUCCCGGGGACUCCACGUCUCCACCCCCGAGUCUGCGGGACGGCAGACGGCGAGAGUGGUUCAGCUCCACCGCCGCACGCGCGAUGCGUGGGCAGGGGAGACGACCGCUCCGAUGGCCGCGGCGAACCCGCGGGGGACAGGAGGCUGGCAGCGAGUAGGUCGGUCACCCACCCGACCCGUCUUGAAACACGGACCAAGGAGUCUAACAUGUGCGCGAGUCAAUGGGUCUUGAACAGGCCCA